Molecule: RNase P RNA, 356 nt
Filed under: Bacteroidetes bacterium RIFCSPLOWO2_12_FULL_35_15
Lineage: Bacteria; Pseudomonadati; Bacteroidota
Description: RNase P RNA component class A
Rfam family: Bacterial RNase P class A
About the family: Ribonuclease P (RNase P) is a ubiquitous endoribonuclease, found in archaea, bacteria and eukarya as well as chloroplasts and mitochondria. Its best characterised activity is the generation of mature 5'-ends of tRNAs by cleaving the 5'-leader elements of precursor-tRNAs.
Source: RNAcentral
AUCGCAGGCCGUUCUAUCGCUGCUCUAUGAAAAUAGGGGAGAGGAAAGUCCGGGCAACACAGAGCAUCCCACUUCCUAACUGGAAGGCUUCAUAGCAGUAUGAAUACAGAUAGUGCCACAGAGAAAUACAGCCCUACAGCAAUGUAAGGUGAUGGUGAAAACGUGAGGUAAGAGCUCACGGAAAUAAUUGGUGACAGUUAUUUCGGGUAAACCUUGGGAGUUGAAAGACCAAAUAAACCGAAGCGUGAGAGCUGCUCGCUCUAUUCGGAGGGUAGGUUGCUUGAGUUUUGCAGCGAUGCAAGAUCUAGAUAAAUGAUAGAACUCGACAGAACCCGGCUUAUAGGCCUGCUUUUUUU